CAAAGCCCUCCCUCCGGAAAGCAGGGAUCAGAAGGGUCGAGGACAUGAUUUUGCACCGUCAUAUAUCUCUCUUUUAUUAUUAACCGAUUCGAAGAUUUAUAGAUUUCCCGGAUUCCUGUUUAGCAAAGGCGCGACUACAUUUUAACAUCUCGGAAACUCAUUUACCGUAACAAAGAUCUCGACUUCUUUUGUUUAUUGGAGUGAGGAGGAGGGGGAGGGGUGGAGAAAAAAAUGGGGGAUUGCUUUCAUUGUCUACAACCGUCCAAACUGCGGUGGUCAGAUUAAUUGUGACCUUUUCUUUCUAGCUGGGUUCCAAAUAUCGUAUAAGCAAAUUCUUUCAAUGUUACCAGCUUGUUGUUUUCCAGCUUGAUCGAAUCGUUGCAAUGGAGAAUUUGCUGAGAUGUUUCUCAAGGGCAUUCUGGAGAUUUAUCUUUCAAUCUCAACGUGAAGACCCGAGCAAGACAGAUCAAGCUAAUCUCCACCCAACCCUCUCGUACCCUGUUAUUUAUUUGCAAGAAGGAUGCAAACUAUCGAGGAAAAUACGAUGAGAUCUGUGGGCUGAAGAAUUCAUGUUGGCCGAAAUAAAACCGAACAUUUUUGUAAUUUUUUAAAAAGUACAAACUAAAAGGCAGUGAGGAGAUGGGUGUUUGAGCCGUAAUGGGGCUCGUUACUCCAUUGCUUCCACUGACAAACUGAACAAAUGAGACUCAGCUCAUUAAAAGGAGGAGGGAGGUGGUCUCAGUAGCCCACACAGCCCAGGGACCAGUUGGCUGAUUCUGAAUUAAAACCUAUUUUGAAUACAGAGGAAUGAAUAUAUUGCCUAUAAAAGACAAACAGGCAGUACACGUGGAUCCGUUUGCAGUUGAAUAUGUUUUGAUAGUUUCGUUUACAAAGCAGUAUUGACGGCACCUUACAACUGAUGGAAAGUCGAAGCUUUUUUUUGGUGAAUUCAUUGGUAACUUGCACUAACGUCUUAGAGCAAGGAUUUACUCUCUUAGGGUGGCAGUGCACGGCUCCAGGGUGUUGAGGUUUUGUGUGCAUAUUUCUGUAUUGCUUUAGACUUUUAAAAAUAGAAUAAAUAAAGAUUAGUUUUUUUUCUGUAUUUGUCUUAUUUUGC
Long non-coding RNA from Pristis pectinata (smalltooth sawfish), 1117 nucleotides. RefSeq lists it as uncharacterized. NCBI's taxonomy places the organism in Eukaryota, Metazoa, Chordata, Chondrichthyes, Rhinopristiformes, Pristidae. The record is from RefSeq and is a predicted model, not a curated record. The transcript has 3 exons.